Taeniopygia guttata (zebra finch) is the source of this 2459-nucleotide non-coding RNA. NCBI's taxonomy places the organism in Eukaryota, Metazoa, Chordata, Aves, Passeriformes, Estrildidae. The record is from RefSeq and is a predicted model, not a curated record.
UUUUGUGCUGUUUUUGAAGUAUUUAGCCCUUUAAAGAAAAUCAACUUAAAAUUAAAUAUGCAGCAAGGUCCAUCUUGAGAGGGCACACAAAGUGCUUUGUAUUUUUUUUUUUUCUUUCCAUUUGGUAACAGGCUGACAUCGGGAGUGGUAGGAAAGAUCUGACAUGCCUGGAUCAGAAGCCAAAAUCUCAGCACCUCUUCCUUUCUCAGCCACCAGAAACUACAAAAAAAACCCUCAAAUUUUCUCCUUGGUCAGCAGGGCACAGAGAAUGCAACAGCCCCUGAAGUGGUUGAAAUUAUUGCCUUGUGCUCUUUGUUGAAGGUUUUAAAAUUUUUACUUUAAAGGUAGGGGCGCACAUGAAUAUGCUUCAAGAUAUUUCACUCAUGGAAUUGGAGAGGGGUGUAAUUCAGCCUGAAGCCAGGAUUUAUGCUGCACUCUUAUUUUAGUUCCUACUGCCUAGGAGAAUCGUUACUACUCAAAUCACAAAUGGUGUCUGUGGCCUGUGCUAAGUUUUCAAAUUAAUUUAAUUUUAGUUUUGAUAGCUUCAACAGAAUUGUUGAAUAACAUUUCCUUUAGCAGAGGUUUUCCAAACAAAUUUAAUUUCUCCUUGCAAGAAGUGGAAAGAAUGUAUUUUUCUUGUGCCUGCUUGGAGCUACAUGUACCUCUGUGGUCCAGGAGGUGACAUACCCUUCACAAGUGAUUCCUCUAAUAAGCAUAGAGAGGAGAAAUGAAUUGUUGUGAGCUACCAGAAGCUACGAGUAGCUACCAGAUGAUUAAAAAUAUUCUGUACUGAAAUAAGCUAACCAUUGCUCAUCAUUUGGACUUGUGGAGCACAGAGCUGGUUGAGCCUAGGGAGAGAACUGGAAAGCAAACUUCUCAGCUGGAAAAGGGCACCCCCUGAAUUUAAUGGUGUUGGACCAAAUGAAUAGGAAUAAACCUGGAAGACCUUGGCUGAAUGCUGAAUGUGAGUAUGGGCUCAAAACAGCACUUCUUCCAUGUGUCAAAAAUACACUGUUUAAUGGAUUAAAUUAUUUUAUCAUCCUCCAUUUGGAAGACAAAAACCUGCUGUGUGAAGCUCAAGAAGUAAAUAAAAUCUAGUGAUGAAAAACUCAACUCUGAUGGGAAUUUUCCUGGAGAAAGGCCUGCUCAAAUUGACCUGUUCAAUUAAAAUGCAAUAAAAUGCAAUUUCCUUUACAUCAUUACAUGCUAAUGUCUACCUUAGAAUUACAAAUUUGUUGAAACCUGAUCAAUAUGGUUCAUCUGUGGUUUCCUCUUGAUAAUAAAAAAAUGGAAACAGAUGCUUUUAAGGAAACAUGCUAAUAUUUUAAAAUAAAUUUGGUGGUCUAAAUGAAGAGUACUGACGGUACUAAAAAGGGUAAUGAUUUAAUUAUUUUUGUUGAUGUCAGUUAUUCAUUUGUGGGCCAUCAAACUAUAAACUGGGGUACUUUAUUGACUGCAAUAUACACUGGAUAUGUGCCAUAUUAUUCAAGAAAAACAAUACACUGCAAAAACAAUACAGAGAAGAGGUAAUUUGUACAGAGUUCAUGAGACAAUUAUAUAAUCUAAUUACAAAACUGACUCACUGUGUCCUUGGUUCUAUUUAUUAGAAGAGAAUUGAAGGACAUACUAAACAUACUCAGAGUCUAGGAAUUUAAAUUUAAAUCCUGCCUGCAUACCCAAGGAUCCAGGAACUGGUGUGAUCCAGAACAUAGAUCAUGAGUCCCAAAAAAAGGAUGCCUUGAUGUGGGACUCAGGAUACAACUUCAUUUUCCUGUGUGAUGGAAGUUAAACUACUACCCCAUUUUCCUGAGGAGGGCUUUGAAACUCAGUAAAUAUCACAGAAAGACUUUUAAUAUCGUUAAUGGCACACAAAAAUAAUGUAAUUAAUUAUUUAUUUAAAAAGAUGACAGCAGUUUGAAAUCUGUUUGUUUUUCACGUUUCACCGGUAAAAAAGCUUCUGGAGAAAUGCAUCAGGAAUAUUUGAAUGCAAGUGGAGGUAUUUCAUGUUCAAACAGAAACAAAUCACUGAGGUGCCUGAACACAAGACAUCACCAAGGCUUUGCACAUGUCACUCACUCACUCACAGAGAAGCACAUCUAAGCAUGGGAAUGACCAAAGCCUAAAGAAAAAGGUGAAGAAUCAAACAACAGUACAUAGCAUAUAGAAUCCAAACACUCACUGUGGAGAGCACAAUACAUGGAAAGGCAAAAAUGAGGUUCUUUCUCUAAUGAGGAACAACACAAUGAUUUAAAUAAGGAAGGAUAAAUUGCCAACAUUCAGUUGCUGCCUGCACAAAAAAACAUUCCCAAGAAGAGGACUGAUCAGAUUGUGGACGGCUACAAACUUCCAGACAGGCAGUAUGGACUUAGAACUCCUGCUCCUGAGCUCCCUUUCUCAGUUGCAGCUUAUAUAAAAGUCUAUAAAGGAGGAAAACCCAUGAAAUAAUGAAGAUGAAUGCA